AAUUCUCUUAUUCAGUUUAUAUUCUUACAAAUGUCGAACACACUCUGUUUUUGUUCUUUUAGUUCUGUUCUCUUCUGUUCUGCUACUUGAGUUCUCGUUCUCACUCGAACUUAAUGCUCAUUAGCCGAGGGAGAAACGAAUUUUUGAAGGCAUAUAAAGGUAAAAGUCUCUGCUCUAAUAAUUAAUUCCUCUAGUUUUCCCUUUACCAUUAGAAGAUUUCUCUGUUAAUUGCUGUGUUUGUCAUCUUCCAUACAUGUUUUAUAGAGUUCAACAAACAUUAAGAUGCUCUGUUUUAGCUGUCAUGACUCUGUUUAGUUAGUGUAGUAAACUAUUUUAGUUAUAUAUGUGUGUCUUCAAUUAUAUAUAUCAUGUUGUGAGAUCAAUUAUGUGUAUGGUAUUCUGAGUUUUAUAUAUGUUCUGUACUAGGAAAACUGAAUGGUUUUUUAAUAUUUGUGAAAAGCAAAGACAUAAAAGGUUUUGUCUAAAAAGAUUUUUGGAUUUUUAUAGUAAGCGUACUAAUUAUACAUGAAGCAAAAUUGUUGACAGCGGAAGAUUAAAGAAUUGUAAUGAAAAUUGAUCUUGAUUAAUUUUGCAGAGUGGUAGUGAAGGAAACAGAGCAUAUUGGGCUGUGUCCAGAGUUUUCCAUCUUCUGCUUGGCCAGCCUUUGAAGUUAACCAGACUCUGUGUAUAUAAACUAUUGUAACAUGUUUUUUUUGUUUUUUGAUGACAUGGAUCAUGUAUAGAUCAUAGAUGUGUGUAUAGGGGUGUGGAUGAAAUAGCGGGGACGUGUGUAACAUGUGUGUAGAUGUAUGUGUAGGGUGAAUGUGUGUAGAUGUAUGUGUAGGGUGAAUGUGUGUAUGUCUAGUCUGCGUAGAUGGGCGUGUGUCGAAACAAAAUGAUCACACACAAAUGACUAACAAAUCUAAUCGCUCUAACCAAACGAUCGCUAGUCGAAACACUAAAAUUACUAACUUGGUCCCGAAUCGUUAAAAGAACAAAUGGCUACCAGUUCACACAAAUGACCAACAAAUCUGAUCACUAACACUUAGUCGAAAUUCACUAGAAAACUGAACAGACGAUCGUUGGAACACACUAAAAUUGCUAAACUAACUCGGUACCUAAUCGUUUAAGACCAAUAAACACACA
Molecule: RNA transcript, 1146 nt
Organism: Arabidopsis thaliana (thale cress)
Lineage: Eukaryota; Viridiplantae; Streptophyta; Magnoliopsida; Brassicales; Brassicaceae
Exons: 1
Source: RefSeq